RNAcentral lists this ribosomal RNA (848 nucleotides) under Stenopelmatus sp. 'small black 3'. RNAcentral describes it as "SSU rRNA". It matches the Rfam family "Eukaryotic small subunit ribosomal RNA", at positions 471 to 1231 of the family's 1831-position model. The record is from RNAcentral. Lineage: Eukaryota; Metazoa; Arthropoda; Insecta; Orthoptera; Stenopelmatidae.
CGAAAAAUAACGAUACGGGACUCAUCCGAGGCCCCGUAAUCGGAAUGAGCACACUUUAAAUCCUUUAACGAGUAUCCAUUGGAGGGCAAGUCUGGUGCCAGCAGCCGCGGUAAUUCCAGCUCCAAUAGCGUAUAUUAAAGUUGUUGCGGUUAAAAAGCUCGUAGUUGGACUUGUGUCCCACGCUGUCGGUUCACCGCCCGUCGGUGUCUAACUGGCAUGAUUCGUGGGACGUCCUGUCGGUGGUGGCGAGUCGAAGGAGCGCGCCCUUCGUGGUUCACGCCGCGAUUGUGGUUGCGGUCCAGAGACGGACCCCGAUGAAAUCCUACCGCGGUGCUCUUCACCGAGUGUCGAGGUGGGCCGACACGUUUACUUUGAACAAAUUAGAGUGCUUAAAGCAGGCCUGUUGCGCCUGAAUACUGUGUGCAUGGAAUAAUGGAAUAGGACCUCGGUUCUAUUUUGUUGGUUUUCGGAACCCGAGGUAAUGAUUAAUAGGGACAGUCGGGGGCAUUCGUAUUGCGACGUUAGAGGUGAAAUUCUUGGAUCGUCGCAAGACGGACCGAAGCGAAAGCAUUUGCCAAGUAUGUUUUCAUUAAUCAAGAACGAAAGUUAGAGGUUCGAAGGCGAUCAGAUACCGCCCUAGUUCUAACCAUAAACGAUGCCAGCUAGCGAUCCGCCGAAGUUCCUCCGAUGACUCGGCGGGCAGCUCCCGGGAAACCAAAGCUUUUGGGUUCCGGGGGAAGUAUGGUUGCAAAGCUGAAACUUAAAGGAAUUGACGGAAGGGCACCACCAGGAGUGGAGCCUGCGGCUUAAUUUGACUCAACACGGGAAACCUCACCAGGCCCGGACAC